GCUUAAAGGGCCAUCCUAGUAGGAGCUUAAAAGACAGUAGUGCUGAGAGCAAUGCAGGUUAUAGAGGUCCAGUUCAACAGAUUUUAGAGGAGAACAUUAUUAGAACAAGAAUGUGUAAUCUGGUGGACAUCAGAUAGUAAUGCCUGGUGGAAAAGGAAAGGAAAAAUUUAAAGGCUUUACUUCUCAAGAGCAACUGUAAUUCAGAAACAGAACAUAGAAAAAGGAAGAAAGAAAACAGAUUCUUUAUUCCGGGACAUGAUAAAUAAACCUUCAAAAG
Long non-coding RNA from Mastomys coucha (southern multimammate mouse), 277 nucleotides. RefSeq lists it as uncharacterized. The transcript is spliced from 2 exons. NCBI's taxonomy places the organism in Eukaryota, Metazoa, Chordata, Mammalia, Rodentia, Muridae. The record is from RefSeq and is a predicted model, not a curated record.